Molecule: small RNA, 156 nt
Filed under: Modestobacter sp.
Lineage: Bacteria; Bacillati; Actinomycetota; Actinomycetes; Geodermatophilales; Geodermatophilaceae
Description: c-di-AMP sequence
Rfam family: c-di-AMP riboswitch aptamer (ydaO/yuaA leader)
About the family: This family represents a conserved RNA structure found upstream of the ydaO and yuaA genes in Bacillus subtilis and related genes in other bacteria. The ydaO/yuaA element is thought to act as a genetic "off" switch for the ydaO and yuaA genes in its native state.
Source: RNAcentral
GCGCAGACCCCGUCGAACUGCUACCGCUCACGCGGUGGAAGACCGGGGACCCAUCGUUCCCUGGGGUGAAUCUCGCCUGGCCCAUGCGCCGCCGCGAGUAGGGCUGUCUCCGGCCCGAACCCGUCAGCUAACUCGGUAGACGGCGAGGGAGAACGG